CAGCUUGUAAAUGAACCACGUGACUUCUGCACAUGCGUAUUAUAUGAGUAAAACGUUCGACUACGUUUUGCGUCUGUUUUACCGACGGAUUACACCACAUUGUACAGUUAAUUUCUAUAUACCGACAUCAAUGUACGUGACUUCAGCGACAUAAUGGACAAAAAAUGAAUUACAUGCGCAACAGGGAAACAGUAUCGCCUAUUGUAUCGGUGUAUAAGCUGUGUAAUUACACUCGAGCGAUCACUCGAGUAGAGUCACGAGCGAGCGACGACGUGUCCUAUCGCAUAACGACGAUUUUCUCCUCGUCCGAUUAGAUUUCUUUCUUCGAACGGUCUUCAUUCUUGAUCAUUAUUUCCAAGAAAUAAAUAAUCAACAAAAUAUCCUGAUACUCCUCGAUCGAUCACUCAACUCAAUGACGUAAGUAUUUAAACGUUACAUCCACGAUCGUUUCGUUCCACGAUCUAUCGCAAAUUGAUCAUUAAAAACAAAGAAUAUUAUUCCCCUUCUCUUAUCCGGGAAAUAAAAAUGAAGCGAAUAAAAAAAAGAAAAAGAAAAAAAGAAAAGAAGAAGAAAAGAUACGCACUUAUCUUACCUUUUUGU
Molecule: long non-coding RNA, 600 nt
Organism: Vespula pensylvanica (western yellowjacket)
Lineage: Eukaryota; Metazoa; Arthropoda; Insecta; Hymenoptera; Vespidae
Exons: 3
Source: RefSeq, a predicted model, not a curated record